AACGCACCUUGCACCCUUUGGUAUUCCGAAGGGUAUGCCUGUUUGAGUGUCUUGAACAAUUCAAAAGUCUAUCUUGUGCGUCGUUCGGUCUGUUUCGACAGCGCGGGCGUACGUGUGGGAUCGGUCGAGCUGAGCGUAGUGUGGUCGACGUUUGUUGACGAUGCUUGUGCGGCCGACGUGACACUUUUGGUCUUGAGCGUUGAUGCCAAUGUACGACUGACUUUUGUCGGUUGCCGAUUGGCUCGCUUUAAAUAAAUUAGCUUGGCCUUUGUUCGUCUGUUUGGACGAACGUUUUCCGCCCUCCUUUUAUGUGUCUGCCGUUGGCGGAGACAAGAGUGCGCCUAUGCAAAAACAAACAUGCGUGAUAAUGUUGGGUCUGCUUUGAUGGAACCUGCUUUCGCGUGUUUUGUAGCUUGGCGAACGGCUUUUGUGUCCUGCCUUAUGUUCUCUUGGAAACAAGGGUGCUUAAGAACGACGACUGGACAAAGAAGGAAGAGGGAUUCGAUAAAUCAAGAUUGCUGCUACUCAGAACAUAAGUGUUGAAAGGAGAACGAAAGAGAGAGAGAGAGAGAUGGUGCGCGAGGGGAAAAAGUAACUGUGUUCGCACGGUCACUGUCCUCCCACCGCCGUCCUCGCUUUCCCUUUCUCUUUUUUUCCCCCCCAAAAACAUUUACCAAAUUAUGAUUUGGACCUCAAAUCAGGUAGGACUACCCGCUGAACUUAA
This 724-nucleotide unclassified non-coding RNA is filed under the name uncultured Agaricales. RNAcentral describes it as "partial contains 5.8S ribosomal RNA, internal transcribed spacer 2, and large subunit ribosomal RNA". The stretch from base 1 to 52 matches the Rfam family "5.8S ribosomal RNA", at positions 103 to 154 of the family's 154-position model. The record is from RNAcentral. Lineage: Eukaryota; Fungi; Basidiomycota; Agaricomycetes; Agaricales.